AGAACGAACGCUGGCGGCAUGCCUAACACAUGCAAGUCGAACGCUCUUGGGGCUUCGGUCUCAGGGGAGUGGCGCACGGGUGAGUAGCGCGUGGGAACCUGCCCUGUUGUGGGGGAUAACCGAGGGAAACUUCGGCUAAUACCGCAUAAGCCGGUUGUCUUGAAGGAGAUGGCCGGGAAAGAUUUAUCGCGACAGGAGGGGCCCGCGUCGGAUUAGCUAGUUGGUGGGUAACGGCCCACCAAGGCGGUGAUCCGUAGCUGGUCUGAGAGGAUGAUCAGCCACACUGGGACUGAGACACGGCCCAGACUCCUACGGGAGGCAGCAGUGGGGAAUAUUGGACAAUGGGCGCAAGCCUGAUCCAGCAAUGCCGCGUGAGUGAUGAAGGCCUUAGGGUUGUAAAGCUCUUUCGCCCGCGACGAUGAUGACGGUAGCGGGAGAAGAAGCCCCGGCUAACUUCGUGCCAGCAGCCGCGGUAA
RNAcentral lists this ribosomal RNA (476 nucleotides) under uncultured bacterium. Its description in RNAcentral is "SSU rRNA". It matches the Rfam family "Bacterial small subunit ribosomal RNA", at positions 26 to 523 of the family's 1533-position model. The record is from RNAcentral.